ACCCCCUGAACUUAAGCAUAUCAAUAAGCGGAGGAAAAGAAAAUAACAAUGAUUCCCCUAGUAACUGCGAGUGAAGAGGGACAAGCUCAAAUUUUAAAUCCAUCGGGUUUUACCUGAUCGAGUUGUAAUUUGAAGAGGCGUUUUCUGUGUUUCUGAUCAGUCCAAGUCCUUUGGGAUAAGGCAUCAUGGAGGGUGAGAAUUCCGUCCGGUUGAUCAGAUUCGCUUUACGAUACGCUUUCUAAGAGUCAAGUUGUUUGGGAUUGCAGCUUAAAAUGGGAGGUAAAUUUCUCCUAAGGCUAAAUAACGGCGAGAGACCGAUAGCGAACAAGUACCGUGAGGGAAAGAUGAAAAGAACUUUGAAAAGAGAGUUAAAUAGUACGUGAAAUUGUUGAAAGGGAAACGAUUGAAGCCAGUCGUACCUAUGGGUAAUCAGCCUUUUGGGUGUGAUUUUGUGGAGCGUGAGGAGUUAAACGCCUUCAUGCCUGCAUAUUCGUGCACUUUGGGUGUACUUGCCCGUAUGGUUGGUUAACAUCAAUUUUGGUGGUCAUAAAAUGACUGGAGGAAUGUAGCUUCGAUCUCGUAUUGAAGUGUUAUAGCCUUCGGUAGAUGUGAUGAUCGAGAUUGAGGAUUGCAACGGAUACCCUUCGGGGCUACCUGUCUGAUCUCUGAUCGUUGCUCUGGUGCCGAAAGCUUGCUUACGGUUAUCAAAGUCGAUGGUCAAUAGGUUAGAACGGGUUAAAUUCGUUAAGGAUGUUGACGUAAUGGCUUUAAACGACCCGUCUUGAAACACGGACCAAGGAGUCUAACAUAUAUGCGAGUGUUAGGGUGAUUAAACCCUUACGCGUAAUGAAAGUAAUUUUGGUGGGAACAUUUUUGUGCACCAUCGACCGAUCAGGAUAUUUUUUGAUAGAUUUGAGUAAGAGCAUAUCUGCUAGGACCCGAAAGAUGGUGAACUAUGCCUGAAUAGGGUGAAGUCAGAGGAAACUCUGAUGGAGGCUCGUAGCGGUUCUGACGUGCAAAUCGAUCGUCAAAUUUGGGUAUAGGGGCGAAAGACUAAUCGAACCAUCUAGUAGCUGGUUCCUGCCGAAGUUUCCCUCAGGAUAGCAGAAACUCGUUAACAGUUUUAUGAGGUAAAGCGAAUGAUUAGAGGCCUUAGGGUUGAAACAGCCUUAACCUAUUCUCAAACUUUAAAUAUGUAAGAAGUUUAUCGUUACUUAAUUGAACGUGAACAUUCGAAUGAGAGUUUCUA
This 1249-nucleotide ribosomal RNA is filed under the name Glomus sp. MUCL 43205. Its description in RNAcentral is "eukaryotic LSU rRNA". It matches the Rfam family "Eukaryotic large subunit ribosomal RNA", at positions 23 to 1125 of the family's 3401-position model. Lineage: Eukaryota; Fungi; Glomeromycota; Glomeromycetes; Glomerales; Glomeraceae. The record is from RNAcentral.